This is a non-coding RNA of Acanthosepion pharaonis, 113 nucleotides long. The record is from the annotation of a GenBank genome assembly. NCBI's taxonomy places the organism in Eukaryota, Metazoa, Mollusca, Cephalopoda, Sepiida, Sepiidae.
UACAGCCGUUUCACCUUUAAAACACUAGUUCACGCCUGAUCACAGAAGUUAAGCCAUGUUUAGCCUGGUAGGCACACAGAUGGGUGUCCACCGGGGAAUACCAAGUAAUGUAA